GGGGGAUAACUACUGGAAACGGUGGCUAAUACCGCAUAACGUCGCAAGACCAAAGAGGGGGACCUUCGGGCCUCUUGCCAUCAGAUGUGCCCAGAUGGGAUUAGCUUGUUGGUGAGGUAACGGCUCACCAAGGCGACGAUCCCUAGCUGGUCUGAGAGGAUGACCAGCCACACUGGAACUGAGACACGGUCCAGACUCCUACGGGAGGCAGCAGUGGGGAAUAUUGCACAAUGGGCGCAAGCCUGAUGCAGCCAUGCCGCGUGUAUGAAGAAGGCCUUCGGGUUGUAAAGUACUUUCAGCGGGGAGGAAGGUGUUGUGGUUAAUAACCGCAGCAAUUGACGUUACCCGCAGAAGAAGCACCGGCUAACUCCGUGCCAGCAGCCGCGGUAAUACGGAGGGUGCAAGCGUUAAUCGGAAUUACUGGGCGUAAAGCGCACGCAGGCGGUCUGUCAAGUCGGAUGUGAAAUCCCCGGGCUCAACCUGGGAACUGCAUUCGAAACUGGCAGGCUUGAGUCUUGUAGAGGGGGGUAGAAUUCCAGGUGUAGCGGUGAAAUGCGUAGAGAUCUGGAGGAAUACCGGUGGCGAAGGCGGCCCCCUGGACAAAGACUGACGCUCAGGUGCGAAAGCGUGGGGAGCAAACAGGAUUAGAUACCCUGGUAGUCCACGCCGUAAACGAUGUCUACUUGGAGGUUGUGCCCUUGAGGCGUGGCUUCCGGAGCUAACGCGUUAAGUAGACCGCCUGGGGAGUACGGCCGCAAGGUUAAAACUCAAAUGAAUUGACGGGGGCCCGCACAAGCGGUGGAGCAUGUGGUUUAAUUCGAUGCAACGCGAAGAACCUUACCUGGUCUUGACAUCCACAGAACUUUCCAGAGAUGGAUUGGUGCCUUCGGGAACUGUGAGACAGGUGCUGCAUGGCUGUCGUCAGCUCGUGUUGUGAAAUGUUGGGUUAAGUCCCGCAACGAGCGCAAC
RNAcentral lists this ribosomal RNA (969 nucleotides) under Salmonella enterica subsp. enterica serovar Derby. Its description in RNAcentral is "bacterial SSU rRNA". It matches the Rfam family "Bacterial small subunit ribosomal RNA", at positions 138 to 1102 of the family's 1533-position model. The record is from RNAcentral. RNAcentral also lists the same sequence under 2 other names. Lineage: Bacteria; Pseudomonadati; Pseudomonadota; Gammaproteobacteria; Enterobacterales; Enterobacteriaceae.